Molecule: ribosomal RNA, 312 nt
Filed under: Triticum aestivum (bread wheat)
Lineage: Eukaryota; Viridiplantae; Streptophyta; Magnoliopsida; Poales; Poaceae
Description: partial small subunit ribosomal RNA
Source: RNAcentral
AUGGAAUUCCUUGCUCCGGUCACGAGCAGAGAGAAAAAAGGAGGUUGGGGAGAGAAGAAAGGUGAACCAGUGGAACGAACGGCAUCAGAGGAUUUUUCUUACCAGCAGCGGGCUCUAGUGGGUCUCCGGCAAGGGCUGGCGGGGACGGAGAUGCUCGAGACUGCUGCUACUGCUUGGGUGGUCGGCGGCCAUGGCGCGAGGGAGACGAUCCUGAGUGGUCAUGGUCGAUCUGAAGGUGGCCGCGAGGAUGGGUCGAGAGGAGGAGAUUGGCUGGUUGGAAGAUCGGUGGAGGGCACUGGUUGGCUCCGGUGA